Molecule: ribosomal RNA, 253 nt
Filed under: uncultured bacterium
Lineage: Bacteria
Description: partial 16S ribosomal RNA
Rfam family: Bacterial small subunit ribosomal RNA
Source: RNAcentral
UACGGAGGGUGCAAGCGUUGUUCGGAAUCAUUGGGCGUAAAGCGCGUGUAGGCGGCCUGGCAAGUCAGUUGUGAAAGCCCGGGGCCCAACCCCGGAACUGCAUCUGAAACUGCCUGGCUCGAGUCCCGGAGAGGAAGGCAGAAUUCCCGGUGUAGGGGUGAAAUCCGUAGAUAUCGGGAGGAAUACCAGCGGCGAAGGCGGCCUUCUGGACGGUGACUGACGCUGAGACGCGAAAGCGUGGGGAGCAAACAGG